RNAcentral lists this ribosomal RNA (468 nucleotides) under uncultured bacterium. RNAcentral describes it as "partial 16S ribosomal RNA". It matches the Rfam family "Bacterial small subunit ribosomal RNA", at positions 28 to 507 of the family's 1533-position model. The record is from RNAcentral.
GACGAACGCUGGCGGCGUGCUUAACACAUGCAAGUCGAACGGAAAGGCCCUGCUUUUGUGGGGUGCUCGAGUGGCGAACGGGUGAGUAACACGUGGGUAACCUGCCCUUGACUUUGGGAUAACUUCAGGAAACUGGGGCUAAUACCGGAUAGGAGCUCCUGCUGCAUGGUGGGGGUUGGAAAGUUUCGGCGGUUGGGGAUGGACUCGCGGCUUAUCAGCUUGUUGGUGGGGUAGUGGCUUACCAAGGCUUUGACGGGUAGCCGGCCUGAGAGGGUGACCGGCCACAUUGGGACUGAGAUACGGCCCAGACUCCUACGGGAGGCAGCAGUGGGGGAUAUUGCACAAUGGGCGGAAGCCUGAUGCAGCAACGCCGCGUGCGGGAUGACGGCCUUCGGGUUGUAAACCGCUUUCGCCUGUGACGAAGCGUGAGUGACGGUAAUGGGUAAAGAAGCACCGGCUAACUACGUG